Molecule: ribosomal RNA, 483 nt
Filed under: uncultured bacterium
Lineage: Bacteria
Description: bacterial SSU rRNA
Rfam family: Bacterial small subunit ribosomal RNA
Source: RNAcentral
AGCGGCAGCGCGGGGGCAACCCUGGCGGCGAGCGGCGAACGGGUGAGUAAUGCAUCGGAACGUGUCCUCUUGUGGGGGAUAACCAGUCGAAAGAUUGGCUAAUACCGCAUGAGAUCGAGAGAUGAAAGCAGGGGACCGCAAGGCCUUGCGCGAGAGGAGCGGCCGAUGCCGGAUUAGCUAGUUGGUGGGGUAAAAGCCUACCAAGGCGACGAUCCGUAGCUGGUCUGAGAGGACGACCAGCCACACUGGGACUGAGACACGGCCCAGACUCCUACGGGAGGCAGCAGUGGGGAAUUUUGGACAAUGGGGGCAACCCUGAUCCAGCCAUGCCGCGUGUGUGAAGAAGGCCUUCGGGUUGUAAAGCACUUUCGGACGGAACGAAAUCGCGCGAUCUAAUAAGUCGCGUGGAUGACGGUACCGUAAGAAGAAGCACCGGCUAACUAUGUGCCAGCAGCCGCGGUAAUACGUAGGGUGCGAGCGUUA